Molecule: ribosomal RNA, 253 nt
Filed under: uncultured bacterium
Lineage: Bacteria
Description: partial 16S ribosomal RNA
Rfam family: Bacterial small subunit ribosomal RNA
Source: RNAcentral
GACGUAGGGCGCGAGCGUUGUCCGGAUUUAUUGGGCGUAAAGAGCUCGUAGGCGGCUUGUCGCGUCGAAUGUGAAAUCUCAGGGCUCAACUCUGACAUUGCAUUCGAUACGGGCAGGCUCGAGUUCGGUAGGGGAGACUGGAAUUCCUGGUGUAGCGGUAAAAUGCGCAGAUAUCAGGAGGAACACCGGUGGCGAAGGCGGGUCUCUGGGCCGAUACUGACGCUGAGGAGCGAAAGCGUGGGGAGCGAACAGG